CUUCACCAGGAACAGGGCUGAGACGUGGGAGUGCAGCUAAAGGGCCUAAAAACCAAAGCACUGAUGAUAGUGGGUUGGUGUGUUUAAAGAAAAACAAAAAUGUGUGUGCUAUGUCAUGUGUAUCUGAUUAUGCAAAAUGCAACUGUCCUAUUUCUUGGUGAGCAAAACCCACCUCCAGUCCCAACCAGCAUCCAGCCCCAGCCGCUUGGAGAAAAGGGGUCUGAAGCUAUGGUCCCCUUUUCCUCUCCUUGUGUUGUGCUGCUGAGCAAGACCUGGUGAGAAAGCACAGCCAAGCUCACACCAGCACAGCCCCACUGGGUGAUGCCAGGUCCAGCACAGGCUCUCCCUUUCCUGGCCCUCCCUGUGCCUGUGAGAUGAGCUGGGUCCUCCUGCAUCAGACAAAGCAAUGAAACCAGGCCCUGGCUUCCUCCUCUCAUCUCUGAUGAAUUUCUUUUGUUAUAGUUUCUCUCUGCACAUAAAUACAGAGCAGCUGAAGGAAGGUGGAAUUUGCCAAGCAGACUCUGGGCAAAGCUUGCACCCUGAGGCGGGAGCUGCUCCUCCCGCAUCCCACAGCAGUGCUGCAGAAAGCAUCUCAUGGUAGGAGGAAUGAGGGGAGCAUCACCUCCGGCUGCAGGUGGCCCCUGGCCUUCACAGUAUUUUCCCAUCACACCACCACCCAGUAACAUCUCACCACAAAGAGGGGCAGAGCUGCCUCCCGCCUAGAAGCAGAAGUAUUUUGAUUUUCUCACCGGGUCUCAGCACUGGGUGUUUACAGCGUGUGCUACUUGCUUGCAGAGGGCUUGUGGGGCUGUGCUCCCACGGAAGAACAACCUGAGAUGAAAGCAAAUCUUUUCUUAUGGCGUAAUGGCUGGUGGUAAUGAGAAGCCGUUCUCGGGUAGGAUGUGGUCAGCCUGGCU
Molecule: long non-coding RNA, 917 nt
Organism: Oxyura jamaicensis (ruddy duck)
Lineage: Eukaryota; Metazoa; Chordata; Aves; Anseriformes; Anatidae
Exons: 4
Source: RefSeq, a predicted model, not a curated record